RNAcentral lists this ribosomal RNA (433 nucleotides) under uncultured bacterium. RNAcentral's name for it is "partial 16S ribosomal RNA". It matches the Rfam family "Bacterial small subunit ribosomal RNA", at positions 29 to 507 of the family's 1533-position model. The record is from RNAcentral.
AACGAACGCUGGCGGCAUGCCUAACACAUGCAAGUCGAACGAGACCUUCGGGUCUAGUGGCGCACGGGUGCGUAACGCGUGGGAACCUGCCCUUAGGUUCGGAAUAACUCCCCGAAAGGGGUGCUAAUACCGGAUAAUGUCUUCGGACCAAAGAUUUAUCGCCUUUGGAUGGGCCCGCGUUGGAUUAGCUAGUUGGUAGGGUAAAAGCCUACCAAGGCGACGAUCCAUAGCUGGUCUGAGAGGAUGAUCAGCCACACUGGGACUGAGACACGGCCCAGACUCCUACGGGAGGCAGCAGUGGGGAAUAUUGGACGAUGGGCGAAAGCCUGAUCCAGCAAUGCCGCGUGAGUGAUGAAGGCCUUAGGGUUGUAAAGCUCUUCUACCCGGGAUGAUAAUGACAGUACCGGGAGAAUAAGCUCCGGCUAACUCCGUG